This is a long non-coding RNA of Corvus hawaiiensis (hawaiian crow), 3841 nucleotides long. RefSeq lists it as uncharacterized. Lineage: Eukaryota; Metazoa; Chordata; Aves; Passeriformes; Corvidae. The record is from RefSeq and is a predicted model, not a curated record. The transcript has 2 exons.
CUCCGCUCUGCCCGGCGGCCUCGGCGCUUCCCUCGCCGCCCUGCGGGGCUGCGGCGCCUCCCCCUGCCCCGCCGCCAGAGCAGGGGGGCCGGCAGCCGGGUCUGCUCCCCGGCGGAGCGGCCCCACCGCCCCCGCUCUAGUGCAUUCGGCCGAGAGGAGGUUCCCGCCCGGACACCGGCCCUGGCUGGGAGCGGCUGCGCGCUCCGCUUCCUGCUCGCUGGAACCGCGGCGUUGGCCUUGCUCGGGGCUGUGGGGGAAAGCCUGCCCCCGAGGAGAGUGCCUGCGGAGAUGGUCCCCUGUGCAUGGGGCGUUGUCGCUUCUAGGCCUGAAAGCUAGAGUUUUAGGUGAGAUGUAAAAACUAAGAUAUGAGUGAAGAGCCCAAACCCAGCUGCGGCAGGGCCAGAGUUGAGUGGGUAAACUUCACGAACAGAUGGGGAAUGUGAGCCUUUUUUCCUUCUUUUUUUUUUUUUUCUUUACCUGCAACAUUUUUAAUUGUGUUUAUUAAUCUGGAGAAUAAAUUGUGUCUCAGUUAGGUAGGAUUCAGUUAGCUUAGCUCAAGUGUUCUUGUCGUGUAUGCCCUUCAUACAGAGCUCAGAUAACAUAUGGUGUUUAUACGAUGCCUACAAACACAUCAAAGUAAGUAAAAUCAGAAUGUAGAGCAACAGCCAGAUAACUGAUCAUGGUUAUGCAUAAAACAGCAUGCAAGUAAAUUGUGAACUCUGUUUAGUACUUCUUUAUCAGGUGGGCACAUUGCUAUUCUCUGGAAAUUUGUGCUUGCAUUUGUGAUUGUUCUUCCUGCAAGGUACUAUUAUAUACAUAAAGUUAAGGGUUUUUUUCUAUAUGUUAUGAUGGUACAUUAACAGUGAUAGUUCAGAACUCAGCACUAUGGAAUUCCACUUUAUAGAUAAAGUAUUUUUGUUAUUGCUUAUCACUGGGCAGUAUAAAGAGCAUUAUUAAUAAUAUUUACAUAUUUCUAGAAAUACUGAUUUUAUUAAACCAAUGAAAUUUGUUUAGUUCAGAAUACAAACAAAUUCAUUGCAAGUACACACAAGCCAUGCUUCAGUUCUUGAGGUUUGAACUCUCGAAUGAUACCUGUGGCAGCAGGAACCUCGUCUGGAGGAAAGAGUUUUUUAUGACCAGCAUUCCUUAAUUCCAUAUUUUUUGUCUUUGUUUUUAUUUCUAUUCUCUGUGCUUUUAAGCACAAAAGCAUUUGGUUUCUCACUUUCUCUAAAACUGAAGUAGGCUCUUUCCUACAAGGUGUUGAAAGGGUGAAAACUUACUGAUUGAAAUGCUUAAAUAUUAUGGUCAUGGGAAUGACAAAGGGCAGCCAGCUCAGUUUUAAAAAGAAUGACAGCUCUCAGAUAAUAUGAGAACGACUGUUGAUCCUGGGGAGUAGCAAUAUCAGGGAUGCUGCAGGUGACCACAGGGUAUUUCUCUGUGAUCUGAGAGGCUUAGAAGUUUGGAUAAAAUUCCUAACAGCAGGUGAGAACAUGUAUUCACACUCUAGCAUGUGUAACCUAAUUAACUUUCAGAGCUCUGGGGAGCAGUGACUUCUUUGGGGUCAGCAUAGGUCUGGUGGCUGAGCACAGCAGGCACAGCUGGGCCAGGCUGUGCCUGGCUGGAGCCAGUGCUGGACCUUCAUUUUCACUUCCAUCCGAGGAGUGAGAGCAUGGGACCACCAGAGGCAGUUGGGCUUUUGCACUGUGUUGAAACAGAGCUCCUUCACUCCAGCUCCUUACUACACACAAGUGGCUCUGUUGUUGGUUUGAUGUCUUCUCAAUGAGCUGCUACUGUGGCCAAGAAUGGAAGUCUGACAGUUUGUUCAAGGCACAUGUGUGUAGCAUGAUAAAAACUCUUACCUGUAUCAAAGGAGAGGAGGUACAAUGGUAUUUAAACCAGAAGAUGUCUCUGUGUUUUUCUUACUAGUCUUUGUUGUUUACAAGAUAUUUCUUUAAUUGCACAAAGUGAUUUCCUACCCAAGUCUGCUCUGCAGUUAAAAUGCUAACUUUAGCAAAAUUAUUAAGGCAGUCUCUAUGAAGAGGUACUUUAUUGUCUCACAAAGAUGAAGAAGAAUUAGAAAUGCAUUCUUACACAAGUACCCACUGAAUAAUGAUGCUCUUGACAACCUCUUGUGUUCCUUUCUCCAUUUUUACUCAUCAAGAACAGGUACUUGGUCUGUGUCUUUGAAUGAGAAUGAUUUGAUGAAACGCAUCAAUAAUAAAGGAAAAAAAAGCUUUGAUACUUGCUCACUCUGAAGCUGUCAAGAGUCAAAUGACAAGAAAUGUUUCAUCUCUCAUACAAAAGGCGACUCUGGCUUGUGGCAAAGCACUCUGUGGUGUUUCUUUUGAUGAGUUGAAAGGGCAGGCCAUGCAGACACUCUUUCUGAGUCAGUCUCUUGGUGAUUUGCUUUGACUAAGGAUUUAAUUGUAGCUGUGCAAAUUUUGUAACUAUUUUAGUGAAAUGAUAUAUGCGGUUCUUCUGUUUUGAAGGAGGAAAUAAUAUGAUUUAGUAUUUCAUGCACUGUGGGAGACAUAUUUCUGCUGUUGCUUCAAACUAAAAUAGGUAUUACUUCUCCUUCAGAACUGUGAGUGGAUUAAAACCUGUAGUGCCUUCCUUUGAGCUUUUGUAGUAAGCACACCUUACUUUCAUUAAGCUGCUGUAAUGAGUAGGUAUGAAAACUAAGGCUGCACCCAUGGAUUAAAAAAAUCAAGAAUGCCUGAGUAAGUUUAGAGAAGAAAAUAAAAUUAUCUGUGUUAUUAAAUCUAUAGUCCUUUAAGUAGAACAGAAUUAUAUCUGGAUAGCUUUGCUGUCUUCAAAAAUGUACUCCAUUUUCUACUGCCUGAAGCACAGCUUUAAAAUACGACUGUAGAAUACCAUUCUGUGGUGUUGUGAUCUGACCAACAGAAAGAAGCUGAGAGGAGUAAUCUACUGAAUCUGUAUGAAGCUGACUUCUGCUAAUUUAAGUGACAAGACUACAGUAAGCUGUGUUUAUUUUGAAAUUACAUGCUGUGUACAGUUUGCUAAUAACUUAAUUGGUGUGGAGGUAAGUCUUAUCAGAUUAUAUUUUUAAAAAUGGCACAUUGGCUUCUGUCAUUAGUUUUGUUUUGGCUAAGAAAAUUUUCUUGAAUUUGAUUUUGUUUUGUAGCAGUGAAGAUAAUUAACUUGCUUUAUUUGGAUCUGUGUUUGCACAGAAGAAACCACAUUUAUGGCUGUUGAGAGAAAAAUAUGGUUUAGUAUGCCAACUCAAUUUAGCACCUGAAAACAUUGUGACAUUUCUCAGUCUUGCAUCAUUCCUGCUAAAAUUGUGUGGUUAAGACUGGAGAAGUUUUAUAUAUCAUGAAUAAAAGUUAAAUGAGGCUUUUGCUAUCAUGGCAAAAUAGUAAAACUUUAGCUUUAUAUAUUAAUUGAAUUUGUGUAAGGUGGGAUUUGGUGAAAUGUUUGGGUUUGGAGGCUUCUUUGAGUCAGAAGUGUUUGAAAAACAAAGGUUGUAGCAAACAUUUGAAGGUGUCCAGAGCUGAGGGUUUUUGGAUGUGACUCCAAAGUUCCACUUUCAUUUUUCUCAACCUCCUGGUGGUUAUUUUAUCUUUAGUGGUUAAAUUGUAAGACUGCAGAUGUCGCAGAAUAUUUGAAGUUUCCUUGCAACAGGUGUCAUAUUAGAAGUUAAUUAGGGAGAAUUUGAAAAGCAAGCAAAAUGCAAAAUAAAAUAGGAUGAGUUGAGAGGUAAGGAAAGAAAAAGGAAUCAAAUUCCACAGAUCUGCAAGAUGGAAAUUUUGUGGGAUUUAUUUCCAAACCUCAUGAAUUUAAAAAAAAAAAAAAAAAAGAAAAGAAAAAGGCGGGAAGG